Molecule: ribosomal RNA, 300 nt
Filed under: uncultured Meiothermus sp.
Lineage: Bacteria; Thermotogati; Deinococcota; Deinococci; Thermales; Thermaceae
Description: bacterial SSU rRNA
Rfam family: Bacterial small subunit ribosomal RNA
Source: RNAcentral
GUGAACGCUGUGCAAGCAGCCGGUGUAAGACGGGGUGUGCAAGCGGUAUCCGGAUUUAUUGGGUUUAAAGGGUUCGUAGGCGGACUUAGAAGUCAGUGGGGAAAGCCUGUGGCUUAACGAUAGAACUGCCAUUGAUACUGUAAGUCUUGAGUAUAUUUGAGGUAGCUGGAAUAAGUAGUUUAGCGGUGAAAUGCAUAGAUAUUACUUAGAACACCAAUUGCGAAGGCAGGGUACCAAGAUAUAACUGACGCUGAGGGACGAAAGCGUGGGGAGCGAACAGGAUUAGAUACCCUAGUAGUC